This 160-nucleotide small nuclear RNA is filed under the name Erythranthe guttata (spotted monkey flower). Its description in RNAcentral is "Mimulus guttatus (spotted monkey flower) U1 spliceosomal RNA". It matches the Rfam family "U1 spliceosomal RNA". Rfam says of the family: U1 is a small nuclear RNA (snRNA) component of the spliceosome (involved in pre-mRNA splicing). Its 5' end forms complementary base pairs with the 5' splice junction, thus defining the 5' donor site of an intron. Lineage: Eukaryota; Viridiplantae; Streptophyta; Magnoliopsida; Lamiales; Phrymaceae. The record is from Rfam by way of RNAcentral.
UUACUUACCUGGACGGGGUGUAUGGCUGAUCAAGAAGGGUCAUGGCCUAGGUUAGUGACCUCCAUUGCACAGAGGAGGGGCGCUUGUCUAAGGUCGACCCAAGUGGUUGAUCCUACGUCAUAAUUUGUGAUAGUGGGACCUGCGUACGCGCGGCUCCUCC